AUUGAACACUGGCGGCAGGCCUAACACAUGCAAGUCGAGCGGAUGAAGGGAGCUUGCUCCUGGAUUCAGCGGCGGACGGGUGAGUAAUGCCUAGGAAUCUGCCUGGUAGUGGGGGAUAACGUCCGGAAACGGGCGCUAAUACCGCAUACGUCCUGAGGGAGAAAGUGGGGGAUCUUCGGACCUCACGCUAUCAGAUGAGCCUAGGUCGGAUUAGCUAGUUGGUGGGGUAAAGGCCUACCAAGGCGACGAUCCGUAACUGGUCUGAGAGGAUGAUCAGUCACAAUGGAACUGAGACACGGUCCAGACUCCUACGGGAGGCAGCAGUGGGGAAUAUUGGACAAUGGGCGAAAGCCUGAUCCAGCCAUGCCGCGUGUGUGAAGAAGGUCUUCGGAUUGUAAAGCACUUUAAGUUGGGAGGAAGGGCAGUAAGUUAAUACCUUGCUGUUUUGACGUUACCAACAGAAUAAGCACCGGCUAACUUCGUG
RNAcentral lists this ribosomal RNA (484 nucleotides) under uncultured bacterium. RNAcentral describes it as "partial 16S ribosomal RNA". It matches the Rfam family "Bacterial small subunit ribosomal RNA", at positions 30 to 507 of the family's 1533-position model. The record is from RNAcentral.